Molecule: long non-coding RNA, 737 nt
Organism: Mauremys reevesii (Reeves's turtle)
Lineage: Eukaryota; Metazoa; Chordata; Testudines; Geoemydidae
Exons: 3
Source: RefSeq, a predicted model, not a curated record
GCCUUGUCGCCAUUGUUGCCCGAGAUACAGACAGCCAGGGGGGGGCCGCACACAACCGCAGGUGGUGGGGAGAACGGGAGAGCCUAGGGCUCCCACAAAUGACGUUUGCCCUCCAGCCAGUUACAGCAAAUGUUCCUGUAAAGGCAAUAGCUGUAGCUGCCACAGGAAUCUUACGUGAACACAUGGGAGGCGAGGUGGUCCCGGCAAUUGUAAAUGGGACAGGAGGCGUCCAUGAGACAAACUCUGUACCAAGAUUUGGCACACAUGUUGAACAAAAUUGAGAAUCCCUGAUUUAGGGGCAUGAUUUUGAAAAGCCCCAUGCACUUUCAACUCCUAUUGUACCUCUCAGGAUUAAGUCUGAAGUCAAAAGAUUUUUUUUAAAGAGCAAGAAACAGAAAGAAACCCAUGGAAACAGAUUUUAAAACGUAAGUUUAUUAAAUUUUGAAAGAAAUAAAGUAGGAGUUAUUACUUACUACAUGUCUGUAGAGCCCUGAGUAUAAUGUGGAGGAUGGUAUCAGGAUUCUUUAGACACCAUCACAAAUAAUAAACGAUGGGUCACUCUAAACCAAACCCCACAUCCAAACUACUUCUCAACUCUGAGGACAUUUGAAUCCUAACCUGAAUAUGUCUGACCCUUUCAUUAUAAGGAGUCAACCCAAAUCCCUAGAUGUUAACACACCUGGAGUUGGGGAGGUUUGGCUCUGGAGCCAGACUUUGUGGCCCAUCUCUAAUAUAAG